This 490-nucleotide ribosomal RNA is filed under the name uncultured bacterium. Its description in RNAcentral is "partial 16S ribosomal RNA". It matches the Rfam family "Bacterial small subunit ribosomal RNA", at positions 30 to 507 of the family's 1533-position model. The record is from RNAcentral.
AUUGAACGCUGGCGGCAGGCCUAACACAUGCAAGUCGAAUGGUAACAGGAAUCAGCUUGCUGUUUCGCUGACGAGUGGCGGACGGGUGAGUAAUGUCUGGGAAACUGCCUGAUGGAGGGGGAUAACUACUGGAAACGGUAGCUAAUACCGCAUAACGUCGCAAGACCAAAGAGGGGGACCUUCGGGCCUCUUGCCAUCAGAUGUGCCCAGAUGGGAUUAGCUAGUAGGUGGGGUAACGGCUCACCUAGGCGACGAUCCCUAGCUGGUCUGAGAGGAUGACCAGCCACACUGGAACUGAGACACGGUCCAGACUCCUACGGGAGGCAGCAGUGGGGAAUAUUGCACAAUGGGCGCAAGCCUGAUGCAGCCAUGCCGCGUGUAUGAAGAAGGCCUUCGGGUUGUAAAGUACUUUCAGCGGGGAGGAAGGGAGUAAAGUUAAUACCUUUGCUCAUUGACGUUACCCGCAGAAGAAGCACCGGCUAACUCCGUG